GGGAGCGUAACUCAGAUCGUAGAGCGCUCGCUUAGCAUGCGAGAGGUACGGGGAUCGAUACCUCGUGCCUCCA
RNAcentral lists this transfer RNA (73 nucleotides) under Trichonephila inaurata madagascariensis. It matches the Rfam family "tRNA". Rfam says of the family: Transfer RNA (tRNA) molecules are approximately 80 nucleotides in length. Their secondary structure includes four short double-helical elements and three loops (D, anti-codon, and T loops). Lineage: Eukaryota; Metazoa; Arthropoda; Arachnida; Araneae; Nephilidae. The record is from Rfam by way of RNAcentral.